UACGAGGGGUGCAAGCGUUGCUCGGAAUUAUUGGGCGUAAAGGGUGUGCAGGCGGGGGAACAAGUGGGGUAUGAAAUCUCCCAGCUUAACUGGGAUAGGUUAUGCCAGACUGUUCUUCUAGAGGACGAGAGAGGGGGGUGGAAUUCCGGGUGUAGUGGUGAAAUGCGUAGAGAUCCGGAGGAACCCCAGAGGCGAAGGCGGCCCCCUGGCUCGUACCUGACGCUCAGCCACGAAAGCAUGGGGAGCGAACGGG
Molecule: ribosomal RNA, 253 nt
Filed under: uncultured bacterium
Lineage: Bacteria
Description: partial 16S ribosomal RNA
Rfam family: Bacterial small subunit ribosomal RNA
Source: RNAcentral